RNAcentral lists this ribosomal RNA (231 nucleotides) under uncultured bacterium. RNAcentral describes it as "partial 16S ribosomal RNA". It matches the Rfam family "Bacterial small subunit ribosomal RNA", at positions 118 to 347 of the family's 1533-position model. The record is from RNAcentral.
UGAGUAACCUGCCCUUCACUCUGGGAUAACUCCGGGAAACCGGGGCUAAUACUGGAUAUGACUCGAACAGGCAUCUGUUUCGGGUGGAAAGAUUUAUUGGUGGAGGAUGGACUCGCGGCCUAUCAGCUUGUUGGUGAGGUAAUGGCUCACCAAGGCGACGACGGGUAGCUGGUCUGAGAGGAUGGCCAGCCACAUUGGGACUGAGACACGGCCCAGACUCCUACGGGAGCA